UGGGGAAUAUUGGACAAUGGGCGAAAGCCUGAUCCAGCCAUGCCGCGUGUGUGAAGAAGGCCUUAUGGUUGUAAAGCACUUUAAGCGAGGAGGAGGGUACUGGUAUUAAUACUACCAGGUACUGGACGUUACUCGCAGAAUAAGCACCGGCUAACUCUGUGCCAGCAGCCGCGGUAAUACAGAGGGUGCGAGCGUUAAUCGGAUUUACUGGGCGUAAAGCGUGCGUAGGCGGCUAAUUGAGUCGGAUGUGAAAUCCCCGAGCUUAACUUGGGAAUUGCAGUCGAUACUGGUUAGCUAGAGUGUGGGAGAGGAUGGUAGAAUUCCACGUGUAGCGGUGAAAUGCGUAGAGAUCUGGAGGAAUACCGAUGGCGAAGGCAGCCAUCUGGCCUAACACUGACGCUGAGGUACGAAAGCAUGGGGAGCAAACAGG
This 430-nucleotide ribosomal RNA is filed under the name Pseudomonadota bacterium. Its description in RNAcentral is "Proteobacteria bacterium partial 16S ribosomal RNA". It matches the Rfam family "Bacterial small subunit ribosomal RNA", at positions 355 to 776 of the family's 1533-position model. The record is from RNAcentral. Lineage: Bacteria; Pseudomonadati; Pseudomonadota.